UAUGCGUCAAGGGCGCGAUGAUGACGGC
This 28-nucleotide small RNA is filed under the name Bombyx mori (domestic silkworm). Its description in RNAcentral is "ovarian small RNA-23942". Lineage: Eukaryota; Metazoa; Arthropoda; Insecta; Lepidoptera; Bombycidae. The record is from RNAcentral.